Molecule: ribosomal RNA, 484 nt
Filed under: uncultured bacterium
Lineage: Bacteria
Description: partial 16S ribosomal RNA
Rfam family: Bacterial small subunit ribosomal RNA
Source: RNAcentral
AGUGAACGCUGGCGGCGUGCUUAACACAUGCAAGUCGAACGAGAACGGGUUAUAGCUUGCUAUAAUUGUCAGCUAAGUGGCGCACGGGUGAGUAAUGUAUAGGUAAUAUGCCUCUUACUAAGGGAUAACAAAUGGAAACGUUUGCUAAUACCUUAUACUCCUUAUUAACAGAAGUUAAUAAGGGAAAGAUUUAUUGGUAAGAGAUUAGCCUGUAUUGUAUCAGUUAGUUGGUGGGGUAAUGGCUUACCAAGACUAUGACACAUAACUGGUUUGAGAGGAUGAUCAGUCAAACUGGAGCUGAGACACGGUCCAGACUCCUACGGGAGGCAGCAGUGGGGAAUAUUGCACAAUGGACGGAAGUCUGAUGCAGCAACGCCGCGUGGAGGAUGACACAUUUCGGUGCGUAAACUCCUUUUAUAUGAGAAGAUAAUGACGGUAUUAUAUGAAUAAGCACCGGCUAACUCCGUGCCAGCAGCCGCCGUAA